CUUCCUUGCUGACUAAGAGGAACAGAACACAGAGCAGCCUGGCGGUGUCCUACCAACAAGCCUCCGUUUCUCCUUCCUGUACACUAGGGCUCCUGAAACUCACCUGGUAAGCGCUCCAGAAAAGCAGCAGGUGGUGACUUUAGGGUAGGACGGGCCAAAUGGGAGAAUCCCCUUAGGUCGGUUUCUCUGGUUCUCAACUUCUUUUGAAAUAACGCUCGCAGAGGAGGUGGGCUUUCUGAGAACUGAGGGAAGUAAGCUCUCAGGACUUCCGGUCGCCAUGAUGGCUGUGGGCAGUCAAUGGGGUCAGUGCAAGCAUCUGGGCCAUCUUUAAUGUGGGCAGGAAAAAAACACGAUUACACUUACUUCUGCAGAGUUUAUAAUAUCCUUGUUCAUUAUUUAAAAUAAAAUAUCUAAGACAUAGGUAAUAGUAUAUUUUAAAUAAAAUUGAAGCAAUAUAUGAAAUUUCUCUGGAAUUCAUCCAGCCACUCUCAGCUGUUACCACUAUCCAGAAACGUCUUAAUCCGCCUGCAUGAUUUAUGUAUUUGGUUUGUAUUUUAAAUAUCAUUUUCUGUAAUAUUUAAAAGUUGUAUUUGCUUGGUAUCCUGCUAUGCAUUCUCAUGCAAUUUGAUUUUUAAUCAAUAUUACUUUUUUUUUUUUUUGAGAUGAAGUCUCCGUCUGUCACCCAGGCUGGAGUGUAAUGGAGCAAUCUCGGCUCACUGCAACCUCUGCCUCCCAGGUUCAAGCGAUUCUCUUGCCUCAGCCUCCCGAGUAGCUGGAAUUAUAGGUGCAUGCCACCACGCUCGGCUAAUUUUUUGUAUUUUUAGUAAAGACGGAGUUUCACCAUGUUGGUCAGGAUGGUCUCCGUCUCUUGACCUCGAGAUCAGCCCGCCUCGGCCUCCCAAAGUGCUGGGAUUACAGGCGUGAGCCACUGUGCCCGGCCUUGGUUUCUAAAUACUAUUUUGAAGUAUCUGUGGAGAAAUGGUUACUUCGAGGGCUGGGGCAGGAAUAUAUAAGAUAACAUUGGAACAAAUUCUGACGCCAGAACAUGAAGAAAUAUUUGAAAAAGGAUGGGGCAUAUUGACUGAACACAGAAGACAAACAUGCAUGACCUCAGCCUAAUCGUGAGAAAACAUCAAAGAAAUCCAAAUUGAUAAACAUUCUGUAAAAUAAUUGGCCAUGCUCAGCAAAAGUGUCACAAUCACAAAAGACAAGGGAAGAAUAAGAAACGGUCACAGCCUGGAGGAAUCUAAGGACAUAACAACUGAGUGCAAUGUGAGAUCCUCGAUUCGAUCUUGGAGAAGAAAGAGGACGUUAAGAGAAAUAUUGACAAAAUUCAAAUAAGGUCUGCACAUUAGGUAAUGGUAAGAUACGUUGACAUCAAUUUCCUGGUUGGAUACUUGUAUUACAUAUACUAUUAUGUAUAUAAUUAUUAUAUUACAAUUACAUAUACAGUUGUAUAUUAUAUAUAAUACAAUAAAUGUAUAUAUAUGAUUAUAAUACAAUAAAUGUAUAUAUACAGUUUUAUAUAUAACAACUAUUAUACAUAUAAUACAAUUAUAUAUAUAGCUAACAUCAGGAUAGGCUGGUUGAGGAUUUAUAUGAAUCUUUGCUAAUUUUGCAUGUUUAAAAUUAUUUCAACAUAAAAAAAUUAUAUGGGUCAUGUAGUUUUUUGUGCAGUUUAAUUCUAGGCACCAUAGUUUCUGUUUUAAUGGGUGUAUUUUCUUCUUUCAAGGAAUUGGGAUAGUCUGUUGUAUUAAAAACCUAUUCAUUUUUGUACAUUAAGAUUCUUCUGGCCAGGCGCAAUGGCUCAAGCCUAUAAUCCCAGCACUUGGGAACCUGAGGCAGGCAGAUCACCUGAGGUCAGGAGUUCAAGACCAGCAUGUCCAACAUGGUGAAACCCCAUCUCUACUAAAAAUACAAAAAAAAUUAGCCAGGCAUGGUGGCACAUGCCUGUAAUCCCAGCUACUUGGGAGGCUGAGGAGGAGACUCACUAGAACUCAGGAAGCAGAGGUUGCAGUGAGCCAAGACUGCGCCACUGCACUCUGGCCUAAGCAACAGAGGGAGACUCCAUCUCAAAAAAAAAAAAAGAUUAUUUCUCUAACUUACUGGUUUAUCUUUUAUAGCUUAUUUCAGGUGAUUUGUUGUGUUUGUCUAUAGAGUAAAAUAACAUGUCUAAUGAGUUAUAAUUUAAUGUCCUUCCAUUCAAUCACUGUAUUUCAAAUUUAUUCCAAUAUUUUGGAAUAAGCUUCCAAUAUUUUAACUUAAAUAGGGAAGGUCAUACUUGGUAUUUUCCUGACCUCAGCUGGAAUGCCUUCAUAGUGUUCACAUGAACACAUUUGGCCUGAGAGAGACUUAUUAUGCCGAGAAUGUGUGUAACCCUUUUUACUUAGGAAUUGUGGGUGGAGUUUUUCCCCCCGCCCAAGAAUGAUUGUUAAUUUCCGUCCAUCAUUUUCCUUUGAUUGUUCUUCAUCUCGAAAACAAAUAAUAAAAUAAUAAAAUAAAUAAAUAAA
This 2510-nucleotide long non-coding RNA is filed under the name Homo sapiens (human). RNAcentral's name for it is "non-protein coding CARD8-AS1:5". Lineage: Eukaryota; Metazoa; Chordata; Mammalia; Primates; Hominidae. The record is from RNAcentral.